UGCAGCCAUGUCAAAUUCAGUGCCUACUCUACCAAUGGCAGGCACUGGCCCAAAAGGCUGCCAUAGAAAUACUGUGACUCAUGGGCCCUGUACCCUUGCCUGGGCUCAGGGAUAAAUUUGGUCACAGACAUCA
This 133-nucleotide small nucleolar RNA is filed under the name Nannospalax galili (Upper Galilee mountains blind mole rat). Its description in RNAcentral is "Small nucleolar RNA SNORA5 (ENSNGAG00000002738.1)". It matches the Rfam family "Small nucleolar RNA SNORA5". From Rfam's summary of the family: ACA5 is a member of the H/ACA class of snoRNA that guide the sites of modification of uridines to pseudouridines. Lineage: Eukaryota; Metazoa; Chordata; Mammalia; Rodentia; Spalacidae. The record is from Rfam by way of RNAcentral.